Molecule: non-coding RNA, 124 nt
Organism: Erwinia tasmaniensis
Lineage: Bacteria; Pseudomonadati; Pseudomonadota; Gammaproteobacteria; Enterobacterales; Erwiniaceae
Source: Rfam
UAAGCAUGAACGCUGCUCUUUUUCGUUUCUUUUUUUACUUUAGCACCUGAUUUCGGGGGCUUUUGCGCAUAGAAAAGAAACGAAAAAUCGCGCUGAAAGCCUCCCUCGUGGAGGCUUUUUUCGU